UACGGGGGGAGCAAGCGUUGUUCGGAUUUACUGGGCGUAAAGGGCGCGUAGGCGGUCGUGACAAGUCACUUGUGAAAUCUCCGGGCUUAACUCGGAACGGUCAAGUGAUACUGUCGGACUAGAGUACAGAAGGGGCAACUGGAAUUCUCGGUGUAGCGGUGAAAUGCGUAGAUAUCGAGAAGAACACCUGCGGCGAAGGCGGGUUGCUGGGCUGACACUGACGCUGAGGCGCGAAAGCGUGGGGAGCGAACAGG
Molecule: ribosomal RNA, 254 nt
Filed under: uncultured bacterium
Lineage: Bacteria
Description: partial 16S ribosomal RNA
Rfam family: Bacterial small subunit ribosomal RNA
Source: RNAcentral